Molecule: ribosomal RNA, 2883 nt
Filed under: Paraburkholderia solisilvae
Lineage: Bacteria; Pseudomonadati; Pseudomonadota; Betaproteobacteria; Burkholderiales; Burkholderiaceae
Description: 23S ribosomal RNA
Rfam family: Bacterial large subunit ribosomal RNA
Source: RNAcentral
UCAAGCGAACAAGUGCAUGUGGUGGAUGCCUUGGCGAUCACAGGCGAUGAAGGACGCGGUAGCCUGCGAAAAGCGGUGGGGAGCUGGCAAACGAGCUUUGAUCCACCGAUAUCCGAAUGGGGAAACCCACUCCGAAUGGAGUAUCCAUGACUGAAUCCAUAGGUCAUGUGAAGCGAACGCGGCGAACUGAAACAUCUAAGUAGCCGCAGGAAAAGAAAUCAACCGAGAUUCCCAGAGUAGUGGCGAGCGAAAUGGGAUCAGCCUGUACUCUUUAUCUUCACUGUUAGCCGAACGCUCUGGAAAGUGCGGCGAUAGCGGGUGAUAGCCCCGUAGGCGAAAACAGCGAGGAAGAACUGGGUGUACGAGAAGUAGGGCGGGACACGUGAAAUCCUGUCUGAAGAUGGGGGGACCAUCCUCCAAGGCUAAAUACUCGUGAUCGACCGAUAGUGAACCAGUACCGUGAGGGAAAGGCGAAAAGAACCCCGGGAGGGGAGUGAAACAGAUCCUGAAACCGCAUGCAUACAAACAGUCGGAGCCUCUGCGAAGGGGUGACGGCGUACCUUUUGUAUAAUGGGUCAGCGACUUACAUUCAGUGGCGAGCUUAACCGAUUAGGGCAGGCGUAGCGAAAGCGAGUCCGAACAGGGCGAUUCAGUCGCUGGGUGUAGACCCGAAACCAGGUGAUCUAUCCAUGGCCAGGAUGAAGGCACGGUAACACGUGCUGGAGGUCCGAACCCACUGACGUUGAAAAGUCAGGGGAUGAGCUGUGGAUAGGGGUGAAAGGCUAAACAAACCUGGAAAUAGCUGGUUCUCUCCGAAAACUAUUUAGGUAGUGCCUCGUGUAUCACCUUCGGGGGUAGAGCACUGUCAUGGUUGAAGGGUCCAUUGCGGAUUACUUCGCCAUAGCAAACUCCGAAUACCGAAGAGUGCAAUCACGGGAGACAGACAUCGGGUGCUAACGUCCGGUGUCAAGAGGGAAACAACCCAGACCGCCAGCUAAGGUCCCCAAAUAUGGCUAAGUGGGAAACGAAGUGGGAAGGCUAAAACAGUCAGGAGGUUGGCUUAGAAGCAGCCAUCCUUUAAAGAAAGCGUAAUAGCUCACUGAUCGAGUCGUCCUGCGCGGAAGAUGUAACGGGGCUAAGCCAUAUACCGAAGCUGCGGAUGCGUGCGCAAGCAUGCAUGGUAGGAGAGCGUUCCGUAAGCCUGCGAAGGUGCACCGGAAGGUGUGCUGGAGGUAUCGGAAGUGCGAAUGCUGACAUGAGUAGCGAUAAAGGGGGUGAAAGGCCCCCUCGCCGUAAGCCCAAGGUUUCCUACGCAACGUUCAUCGGCGUAGGGUGAGUCGGCCCCUAAGGCGAGGCAGAAAUGCGUAGCUGAUGGGAAGCAGGUCAAUAUUCCUGCACCGUUGUCAAAUGCGAUGGGGGGACGGAUCGCGGAAGGUUGUCCGGGUGUUGGACGUCCCGGUCGCUGCAUUGGAGAAGGCGCUUUGGCAAAUCCGGGCGCGUAAUUCAAGGGUGUGGCGCGAGCUUCUUCGGAAGCGAAGCAACUGGAAGGGGUUCCAGGAAAAGCCUCUAAGCUUCAGUUUGACAAUGACCGUACCGCAAACCGACACAGGUGGGCGAGAUGAGUAUUCUAAGGCGCUUGAGAGAACCCGGGAGAAGGAACUCGGCAAACUGGUACCGUAACUUCGGGAUAAGGUACGCCCCUGUAGCUUGAUGCGCCUGCGCGCAAAGGGUGAAGGGGUUGCAAUAAACUGGUGGCUGCGACUGUUUAAUAAAAACACAGCACUCUGCAAACACGAAAGUGGACGUAUAGGGUGUGACGCCUGCCCGGUGCCGGAAGAUUAAAUGAUGGGGUGCAAGCUCCUGAUUGAAGUCCCGGUAAACGGCGGCCGUAACUAUAACGGUCCUAAGGUAGCGAAAUUCCUUGUCGGGUAAGUUCCGACCUGCACGAAUGGCGUAACGAUGGCCACACUGUCUCCUCCCGGGACUCAGCGAAGUUGAAGUGUUUGUGAUGAUGCAAUCUCCCCGCGGCUAGACGGAAAGACCCCAUGAACCUUUACUGCAGCUUUGCAUUGGACUUUGAACCGGUCUGUGUAGGAUAGGUGGGAGGCUGUGAAGCGUGGACGCCAGUCUGCGUGGAGCCGUCCUUGAAAUACCACCCUGAUCUGUUUGAGGUUCUAACCUUGGACCCUGAAGCGGGUUCGGGGACAGUGCAUGGCAGGCAGUUUGACUGGGGCGGUCUCCUCCCAAAGUGUAACGGAGGAGUACGAAGGUACGCUAGGUACGGUCGGAAAUCGUGCUGAUAGUGCAAUGGCAUAAGCGUGCUUGACUGUGAGACUGACAAGUCGAACAGGUGCGAAAGCAGGUCAUAGUGAUCCGGUGGUUCUGUAUGGAAGGGCCAUCGCUCAACGGAUAAAAGGUACUCUGGGGAUAACAGGCUGAUACCGCCCAAGAGUUCAUAUCGACGGCGGUGUUUGGCACCUCGAUGUCGGCUCAUCUCAUCCUGGGGCUGUAGCCGGUCCCAAGGGUAUGGCUGUUCGCCAUUUAAAGAGGUACGUGAGCUGGGUUUAAAACGUCGUGAGACAGUUUGGUCCCUAUCUGCCGUGGGCGCUGGAUAUUUGAAGGGACCUGCUCCUAGUACGAGAGGACCGGAGUGGACGAACCUCUGGUGUACCGGUUGUCACGCCAGUGGCAUCGCCGGGUAGCUAUGUUCGGAAGAGAUAACCGCUGAAAGCAUCUAAGCGGGAAACUCGCCUUGAGAUGAGAUAUCCCCGGGGCUUCGAGCCCCUUGAAGGGUCGUUCAAGACCAGGACGUUGAUAGGUCAGGUGUGGAAGCGCAGUAAUGCGUUAAGCUAACUGAUACUAAUUGCCCGUAAGGCUUGAUCC